RNAcentral lists this ribosomal RNA (434 nucleotides) under uncultured Lachnospiraceae bacterium. Its description in RNAcentral is "partial 16S ribosomal RNA". It matches the Rfam family "Bacterial small subunit ribosomal RNA", at positions 341 to 792 of the family's 1533-position model. The record is from RNAcentral. Lineage: Bacteria; Bacillati; Bacillota; Clostridia; Lachnospirales; Lachnospiraceae.
ACGGGAGGCAGCAGUGGGGAAUAUUGCACAAUGGGGGAAACCCUGAUGCAGCGACGCCGCGUGAGUGAAGAAGUAUCUCGGUAUGUAAAGCUCUAUCAGCAGGGAAGAAAAUGACGGUACCUGACUAAGAAGCCCCGGCUAACUACGUGCCAGCAGCCGCGGUAAUACGUAGGGGGCAAGCGUUAUCCGGAUUUACUGGGUGUAAAGGGAGCGUAGACGGUUCUGCAAGUCUGAUGUGAAAGGCAGGGGCUCAACUCCUGGACUGCAUUGGAAACUGUAGAACUAGAGUGUCGGAGAGGUAAGCGGAAUUCCUAGUGUAGCGGUGAAAUGCGUAGAUAUUAGGAGGAACACCAGUGGCGAAGGCGGCUUACUGGACGGUAACUGACGUUGAGGCUCGAAAGCGUGGGGAGCAAACAGGAUUAGAUACCCUGGUA